ACUUGAACGAUUUGGUACGCUUGUCAAUCCGUCAACAAGUUUUUGGCGCCGUUGUCGGGGACUUGAGGUUUACUUGUUCUCAUAAAUGUUCUCUAGGGUUUUGUGCCUAAUGUUUGCAGAAUGCAGUACGGACAAGGAUUUGAUUAUGUGGGCACUCAAUCCUACCAAAAUAAUUUCAAUCACUGGUGGGAACCUCACUCAUACAUGGAUCAAAGUCGUUAUGGACAAGCUGUAGAGCCUUAUUUCAUGCCUAUACAAAGAAGUGCAAAAUCUGAUGAACUUUUUCAGAGGAUUAUGGAUACGCGGGGCCCAACCCAUAAAAGAAUCAAAGACCAAUUACUAGAAGAAUAAAGGUUACUAAGCGCACCCCCCUUGUGCUAAAUACACCAUGGCAAUUUUCUUCACAUUUAGCACAUGUAUUUAGUGCAUUUUCGUGUAGCUUCUAGAUUCAAUAACUUUCAACACAUUUUGCACAUGCUACCACGUGUAUGAUAAUUUGUGAAUGAUGGUAGCAUGGAGCACCGUCUAGAUCUAAGGAGAUAGGCUAUAAAUCUCCUCUUCCAUCUUCAUGUAAAACACUUUUGAAUAUUGAGAGAAUUGAAAUGCUAUUGAAGCUUCUUCUCCCAUCGAAAGUCACUCCUUGUGCUUCUUUCCCUUCUCCUCUAGCUUCCUUCCUAGAGAGGGCUUUCUGAGCUAGAUUCACUUACCACUUAAAGCACUUCAUCCACCAACUUCAAUCAUAAACUACAUCUUCCGCUGCUACCUAAAUCAAGUCCAAGAACCAUUCAUAUUUGUUGUUGCCAUCUGCUCGGUUUCCUCUU
This 821-nucleotide long non-coding RNA is filed under the name Vigna radiata. RNAcentral describes it as "long non-coding RNA (VRAD_LNC003649)". The record is from RNAcentral. Lineage: Eukaryota; Viridiplantae; Streptophyta; Magnoliopsida; Fabales; Fabaceae.